Non-coding RNA from Prunus avium (sweet cherry), 4845 nucleotides. The record is from RefSeq and is a predicted model, not a curated record. NCBI's taxonomy places the organism in Eukaryota, Viridiplantae, Streptophyta, Magnoliopsida, Rosales, Rosaceae.
ACUGAGAGCAACAUAAAUCUCAACUUCUCAACAGCCAAAUCCUUUGCUGCAAAACUUGCUCAAAUCUGAACUCAAGUCCAAAUCCUUUGCAAAGAAUCGAAACAUGGCUUUGGUUGGAGAGGCUAUUCUCUCUGCCUCCGUGCAGGUGCUGUUUGACAAGAUUGGUUCCAGCGAGUUCGUGGACUUGUUCCGGAGAAAGAAACUGGACGAGUCGCUUGUGAAGAAACUGGAGAUAACGUUGUUGAGCCUUAAAGCGGUGCUUAAUGACGCGGAGGAGAAGCAAUUCCUGAACAGCUACGUGAAAGAGUGGCUUGAUAAGCUUCAAGAUGCUGUCUUUGAUGCGGAUGACCUUCUCGAUGAGAUCAAUGCUGAAGUUUUGCGAUGCAAGGUGGAAGCUGAAUUUCAAACCGUCACAAAUAAGGUGUGGAACUUCCUCCCUACUUAUCUUAAUCAUAAUUAUCAAGGCAUGAAUGGUAGGAUUCAAGAGUUGCUUGAAAGGUUAGAGCACCUUGCAAAGCAAAAGGAUUUCCUUGGGCUGAGAGAAGGUGUUGUUGGGGGGAAGAUUUCACAAAGAACUCCAACAACUUCCUUGGUGGAUGAAUCUUGUGUGUACGGUAGGGAUGGAGAUAAAGAAAAGCUGAUGAAACUGUUGUUAUCUGAUGAUGCAAGCGACAAGGAUGUAUCUGUCAUCACCAUAGUGGGAAUGGGCGGGGUUGGCAAGACAACCCUUGCUCAGCUCCUUUAUAAUGAUGACAAAGUGAAAGAGCAUUUUAAUCUUAGAACUUGGGCUUAUGUUUCGGAAGAUUUCGAUGUUACUAGGGUAACUAAAACUCUACUUGAGUCAGUCAGUUCAAAAACUUAUGAUAAUAAAGACCUGAGUUUUCUUCAAGUUGAGCUAGGACAACAAAUAAAGGGCAAGAAAUUUUUAUUUGUGUUGGAUGACCUUUGGAAUGAGAACUAUGGUGAUUUGAGUCUCCUACAACGUCCUUUUGCAUCCGGAGCAAGGGGAAGUAGGGUUAUUGUGACAACACGGAACAAAAGUGUUGCAUCUCUCGUGCGCACCGUUCCAAUUCACUAUUUGAAACAGUUGUCUGAUGAGGAUUGCUGGUUGUUACUUUCAAAACAUGCCUUUGAAAAUGGAAACUCAAGUGCACAUCUAGAGCUGGAAGAAGUUGGUAAGAAAAUUGCUUCUAAGUGCAACGGUUUACCAUUAGCUGCAGAGACACUUGGAGGCCUCUUACGUUUCAACACAGAUUAUGAGGAAUGGAAUAACAUAUUAAAUAGCAAUAUUUGGGAGCUACCCCAUGAGAAAUGCAACACAAUUCCGGCUUUAAGAUUGAGUUACCAUUAUCUCCCAACUUAUUUAAAACGAUGCUUUGCUUAUUGCUCAAUUUUCCCAAAAGGCUAUGAAUUCCAAAAGGAAGAUGUAGUUCUACUUUGGGUGGCAGAAAGUUUAAUUCCACAAGCUGAGAGUGAAAAAAGAAUGGAAGAGCUCACUAAGAAAUACUUUGAUGACUUAUUAUCACGGUCAUUUUUUCAAAGAUCAAGAUAUGUGAAAUCACAGUUCACAAUGCAUGAUCUCAUCAAUGACUUAGCUAUGUCUGUGUUUAGGGAAUCCUGUUUGAGAUGGGAAGGGGGCGAAUCACAUGAAGUUUUGAAAAGAGUUCGACAUUUGUCGUAUGCUAGAGGGCACUUUGAUUGUGCUGCGAAAUUUGAGCCAUUAUAUGAGGUUAAGAAUUUGCGAACCUUCCUACCUCUAAGAUCACACAUGUCUCCGCGUUAUGUAAGUAAAAGGGUUUUACAUGAGUUAGUGCCAUCUCUAUUAUGUUUACGGGUGUUAAAGUUGUCAAAAUAUAAUAAUAUUGUUGAGUUACCCAAUUCUAUUGGUAACCUCAUUCAUUUGCGCUACUUGAAUCUCUCUAAUACUGGAAUCAAAAGGUUACCUUCCACAGUUUGCACUCUCUACAAUCUACAGACAUUACUAUUAUCAUAUUGUUCCUCUCUAAUUGAAUUGCCUACAGACAUGAGGAAAUUGAUUAACUUGAGGCAUCUUGAUUGUAGUGGAACACAAAUUGAAGAGAUGCCGGUGCAAAUGGGUACACUAAAAAGUUUGAGAACAUUGACUACUUUUUUUGUGGGGAAAUCUAACGGGUCGACUAUUGGAGAAUUGAGGGAGUUGUCUCAUCUUGAAGGAAAACUUUCUAUUUUGAAGCUUAAUAAUGUAGUUGAUGGUAGGGAUGCCUGGCGAGCUAAUUUGAAAAACAAGAAAGAUCUCAAGGAGUUAGAGUUGGCAUGGAGCUCCGAAGAUGCCGAUCAUUCCGAAAAGGUGAGAGAUGUACUUGACAAGCUCCAACCUUGCAUGAAUUUGGAGAAAUUGACAAUCAAACUUUAUGGUGGGACCAGCUUCCCAAACUGGUUGGGAGACUCUGCCUUCAAUAAAAUAAAAGUUAUGCACCUCAAAGACUGUCAUUAUUGCUUCGAGUUGCCACCGCUUGGACAGCUACCUGCUCUUAAGGAGCUCGUCAUAUGUAAGAUGAAAUUUCUUAGGACGUUAGGUCCUGAGUUGUAUGGUCAGCCAUUUCAGCCAUUUCAAUCGUUGGAGAGGCUGGAGUUUACGGAGAUGGCAGAGUGGGAGGAAUGGGUACCAAGUGGGAGUGGAGGUCCAGACUUUCCUCAUCUCCAGGAGCUAAUUCUAGAAAUGUGUCCGAAGCUGAGAGGAAGCUUGCCUUGUGAUCUGCCUUGCUUGAAGAAGCUUAGCGUGGAAGGGUGUGGAGUUUUACAUGAUCAAAGGGCCACUGCUGCUACUAGUACUAGUACCAAUCUCAACUACAAUUCUCUUCAAGAAUUGAAAAUAGAAGAUGGAUGCCAAACAGGUCUGUUAUCAUUACUAGAGACAAAACUCCUGUCCCGACUUAGGAUUAUAAAUUUUAAUGACAUACAAUGCUUGCCCAACAUCAAUCAUCUUCAAAGUUUGACUCUCUGGAAUUGUCCAACCCUGUCGUCGUUCCCUGAAGAUGGCCUACCCACUUCGUUGACUUCACUUAGGAUAUACAGUUGUAGGAGAUUAGAAUUCCUACCUCAUGAGAUGUUGGCCCAAUUAACAUCGCUUCUCUCUUUGAGUCUAGUGAAUAGCUGUGAUUCAAUGAGGUCCUUCCCCUUGGGCAUUUUUCCCAAAUUGACGACACUUGAUAUUGGCAAUUGUGAGAAUCUGGAAUCGCUUUGCUUGAUUGAAGAAGAAGGAGCGGUUGAGAAUCUAAGUCAUCUCAAUCAAUUGGAUAUCUUCGGGUGUCCAAAUUUGGUGUGUUUUUCGCAGGGAGGAUUGCCCACUCCCAACCUGAGUCAAUUGGACCUCAGCAGAUGCGAUAAGUUAAAGUCAUUACCUGAACGCAUUCACACCCUCACAGCCCUUGAAGCAUUGUGGAUAAGGAAUCUUCAAAAUAUGGAGUCAAUUGCAGAAGAUGGGGGUUUGCCUCCCAACCUCCGAGAUUUGAGCAUUGAGAAUUGUGAGAGACUGAGGGCUUCAUCUUCAUCAGUGGGAGACUACUGUAACUGGGGUUUGCAAGCACUUGUCUCCCUUGAACAAUUUACAAUUGGUGGCAGGGGAAGUGAUGAAAUCUUGGAGACGUUGCUCAAGCAACAGCUGCUCCCUACCACUCUUCGCUUUCUCAGGUUCUCUUCAUUAUCAACUCUGAAAUCUUUGGAUGGAAAGGGACUUGCACACCUUACUUUUCUUCGAAUUCUAUCUAUUAAUUGUUGUAAGAGUCUGGAAUUCCUGCCAGGAGAGGCACUUCAACACCUCACUUCUCUUCAAAGGCUAGUAAUUAGUCGGUGUGACAAUCCCCAAUUCCUGCCAGGAGAGGCACUUCAACACCUCACUUCUCUUCAAAGGCUAGAAAUUAGUUAUUGUGACAAUUUCCAAUUCCUGCCAGAAGAGGAUCUGCCGCCAUCUCUUUCUUAUCUGAGCAUCUACAAAUGUUCCGGCCUGGAGAAAAGGUAUCAGAAUAAGACAAGACAAGAUCAUUGGGCCAACAUAUCUCACAUUCCAUGCAUCAAGAUAAAUGAUGAAGUCAUCAUAUGAUGAUAUGACCUCUCUCUUUCUCACAUAGAGACAAACAAACUCUAGUCAGAUGUUUGGAGGUCAAAGCAACUUAUAUAGGCAACCAGGCCCGAGGAGAGUUUACCAUUGUAUAUGGAUUUUUGUUUUUCUACAAACAAAUUGCGGCAAAGAAGGGGAAGGAAAUGUUGUCAAGGUGGAGCUCUUGCAAGAGACCAGCAUUUGGACAAUGUGGUAAACGGAUCUCAAUCUAACAUAACAAGCAUUACUGUCCAUUCAUGAUUAGGGUGGGAGGAAUGAAGACCAGAAGGCCGGUGUCCAGAUUUUCCUCAUCCCAAGGAGCUGACUUUAGACAAGUGUGGGGUUCUACAUGAUGAAAGGGCCACUACUACUCGUAACAUGGACUACUUAUCUCUUGAAGAAUUAGAAAUAUAUGAUGGAUGCCCAGGUCUGUUCUCGUUACUAGAGACAAAGUUCCUGUUCGUGUUCCUAUUUGAUACGAUGCCAUUUCCAAUUCAAACUUUUCAGGAGCAUCUAGUUGAGCUGAGGUAUGCAUGGGAAGUGAAAGCACUCAAGUAACCGUCCAUAUUAAAAAGCUAUUAGAAGAAGCAGGCUUUUCGAAAUUUGAUCUGGAACAGAGUGGGAGAAAACAAAUGAAGGUUUCUUUCAUGUCACUGCCCGAGGAGAGUUUACUGUUGUAUAUAGAUUUUUGUUUUUCUACAAACAAAUUGUGGCAAACAAAGGGGAAGGAAAUCUUCUCCAGGUGGAGCUCUAGCAACAGACCAGCAUUU